UACAGAGGGGGCAAGCGUUGUUCGGAAUUACUGGGCGUAAAGGGCGCGUAGGCGGCCUUCUAAGUCGGAUGUGAAAUCCCUCGGCUCAACCGAGGACGUGCAUCCGAAACUGCGGAGCUUGAGUAUGGAAGAGGGUCGCGGAAUCCCCGGUGUAGAGGUGAAAUUCGUAGAUAUCGGGGGGAACACCAGUGGCGAAGGCGGCGACCUGGGCCAAUACUGACGCUGAGGUGCGAAAGCGUGGGGAGCAAACAGG
Molecule: ribosomal RNA, 253 nt
Filed under: uncultured bacterium
Lineage: Bacteria
Description: partial 16S ribosomal RNA
Rfam family: Bacterial small subunit ribosomal RNA
Source: RNAcentral